Molecule: ribosomal RNA, 475 nt
Filed under: uncultured bacterium
Lineage: Bacteria
Description: bacterial SSU rRNA
Rfam family: Bacterial small subunit ribosomal RNA
Source: RNAcentral
UGAACGCUGGCGGCAGGCCUAACACAUGCAAGUCGAACGGUAACAGGAUAGCUUGCUAUCGCUGACGAGUGGCGGACGGGUGAGUAAUACUUAGGGAUCUGCCCUUUGGAGGGGGAUAACCAUUGGAAACGAUGGCUAAUACCGCAUAAUGUCUACGGACCAAAGGGGGCUUCGGCUUCCACCAGAGGAUGAACCUAAGCGAGAUUAGCUUGUUGGUGAGGUAACGGCUCACCAAGGCGACGAUCUCUAGCUGUUCUGAGAGGAAGAUCAGCCACACUGGAACUGAGACACGGUCCAGACUCCUACGGGAGGCAGCAGUGGGGAAUAUUGCACAAUGGGGGAAACCCUGAUGCAGCCAUGCCGCGUGUGUGAAGAAGGCCUUAGGGUUGUAAAGCACUUUCAGUUGUGAGGAAAGGUUUGUGGUUAAUACCCAUAAGCUGUGACGUUAGCAACAGAAGAAGCACCGGCUAACUCC